This 442-nucleotide ribosomal RNA is filed under the name uncultured bacterium. RNAcentral's name for it is "partial 16S ribosomal RNA". It matches the Rfam family "Bacterial small subunit ribosomal RNA", at positions 338 to 795 of the family's 1533-position model. The record is from RNAcentral.
CCUACGGGAGGCAGCAGUGGGGAAUAUUGGGCAAUGGGCGCAAGCCUGACCCAGCAACGCCGCGUAAAGGAAGAAGGCUUUCGGGUUGUAAACUUCUUUUGUCAGGGAAGAGUAGAAGACGGUACCUGACGAAUAAGCCACGGCUAACUACGUGCCAGCAGCCGCGGUAAUACGUAGGUGGCAAGCGUUGUCCGGAUUUACUGGGUGUAAAGGGCGUGUAGCCGGGUUGACAAGUCAGAUGUGAAAUCCUGCGGCUUAACCGCAGAACUGCAUUUGAAACUGUUGAUCUUGAGUACUGGAGAGGCAGACGGAAGUCCUAGUGUAGCGGUGAAAUGCGUAGAUAUUAGGAGGAACACCAGUGGCGAAGGCGGUCUGCUGGACAGCAACUGACGGUGAGGCGCGAAAGCGUGGGGAGCAAACAGGAUUAGAUACCCCAGUAGUC